RNAcentral lists this long non-coding RNA (467 nucleotides) under Apteryx owenii (little spotted kiwi). RNAcentral's name for it is "lncRNA (ENSAOWG00000013142.1)". Lineage: Eukaryota; Metazoa; Chordata; Aves; Apterygiformes; Apterygidae. The record is from RNAcentral.
UCGGCUUUUGUACAGUAUGUCAAGCUGAAACUUGACAUACCUAUUUUUGCUGUUUCAUUUCAGGAGACAAGUUCCCUUGGUACACAAGAGCUCGGGUUGUGGAUUUUUCGCAUUCAGCCAGAAAGCAAAAUAGCCCUGGUGUGUAUCCAAAUAGCCAGGGUGACUGCCGAGGACUGAAAAUGGUGGUGAUUUCCCCAGAGAGACUAUCAGUAAAAUAAAAAACUCCUCCCUCCCUGCCUCUGCCAUGUCUUUAGGUACAAAGAAGAGAACUUAACUGCUUACCAGUUGCUGAAGACUAGUCCCUGUUCCCAAAUAUUAUAUAUAAAAAGUAACCAGACAAGAAAUGCAUCUCGAAAAUGGCAUGGCAAGUUUGUAAGAAGCAGAAUCUUUGCCUCUCAAAUGCUGGAAUUGCGAAGACUGGGUCCCCUUUCAACAAAGUAGAACAGCACCUUUAAGGUAGGCUGGAA